GGACCUGCAUGACUCCAACCAGUAUCACCAAAAGCACUUCCAGACUAAUCCAUAGACAGGUUUUGAGAGCCGACCAGCUUCCAGGGAUCAUCUCCCACCUGGAAUGAAGUUAAGAGAACAGGCAGGAAAGGGAAGACAGGGUGAACUGGCCAAGAAAUCCCUAAUUGUGUAAAUUACCAGACAAAGCUCUUCAGCCCCUUCCUCAUGACUCAGACAUGGAGACAAAGGACAAAUGAAAGGGAGGAAAUGUCUUUGCCUCCCUGGAAAGGAAGGAGACCCACCAAGCAGAAAGAGAGGGAGGAGGGAAGGGACAGCUCAGUGGAGCUGCAGUGACCAAGCGGAGUACAGCGGGGAGAAAUCCGGAGACAUUUCCCAGUCUUG
Molecule: long non-coding RNA, 381 nt
Filed under: Homo sapiens (human)
Lineage: Eukaryota; Metazoa; Chordata; Mammalia; Primates; Hominidae
Description: HSALNT0269672
Source: RNAcentral